AGUUAUGCAUGCUAUUUUCAUCUGCAUACUACUAACCACUGGACCAAGAGAAACUCUAACACUCAGAAAGUAAGAGACUUCACCAAAUGCAUAUAUUCCUUUUUUGAUCGAAAUAAAAAAUACACUACACAACUUGAAGAUGUCAGAGUUUUUCAUAACUUGGGUGAAGGGAAUCAGCUAAGAACAACACAUUAUACAUAGU
This 202-nucleotide long non-coding RNA is filed under the name Elaeis guineensis (African oil palm). Its description in RNAcentral is "long non-coding RNA (EGUI_LNC029598)". The record is from RNAcentral. Lineage: Eukaryota; Viridiplantae; Streptophyta; Magnoliopsida; Arecales; Arecaceae.